This 445-nucleotide ribosomal RNA is filed under the name uncultured bacterium. RNAcentral describes it as "partial 16S ribosomal RNA". It matches the Rfam family "Bacterial small subunit ribosomal RNA", at positions 354 to 796 of the family's 1533-position model. The record is from RNAcentral.
GUGAGGAAUAUUGCGCAAUGGAGGCAACUCUGACGCAGCCAUGCCGCGUGCAGGAAGAAGGCGCUACGCGUUGUAAACUGCUUUUAACCGGGAAGAAACCCCAGGACGUGUCCUGGGUUGACGGUACCGGAGGAAUAAGCACCGGCUAACUUCGUGCCAGCAGCCGCGGUAAUACGAAGGGUGCAAGCGUUAUCCGGAUUCAUUGGGUUUAAAGGGUGCGUAGGCGGAGCGUUAAGUCAGUGGUGAAAUCCUGCAGCUUAACUGUAGACUUGCCAUUGAUACUGGAGCUCUUGAGUGCGCUUGAAGUGGGCGGAAUGUGCCGUGUAGCGGUGAAAUGCUUAGAUAUGGCACAGAACACCAAUUGCGAAGGCAGCUCACUAAGGCGAUACUGACGCUGAGGCACGAAAGCGUGGGGAUCGAACAGGAUUAGAAACCCGUGUAGUCC